CAUGGCUCAGGAUGAACGCUAGCGGGAGGCCUAACACAUGCAAGCCGAGCGGUAGAGAUCUUUCGGGAUCUUGAGAGCGGCGUACGGGUGCGGAACACGUGUGCAACCUGCCUUUAUCUGGGGGAUAGCCUUUCGAAAGGGAGAUUAAUACCCCAUAAUAUAUUUAUCGGCAUCGAUAGAUAUUGAAAACUCCGGUGGAUAGAGAUGGGCACGCGCAAGAUUAGAUAGUUGGUGAGGUAACGGCUCACCAAGUCUACGAUCUUUAGGGGGCCUGAGAGGGUGAUCCCCCACACUGGUACUGAGACACGGACCAGACUCCUACGG
RNAcentral lists this ribosomal RNA (324 nucleotides) under uncultured bacterium. Its description in RNAcentral is "bacterial SSU rRNA". It matches the Rfam family "Bacterial small subunit ribosomal RNA", at positions 18 to 344 of the family's 1533-position model. The record is from RNAcentral.